AGGGUUGUAGUUAAAAAUAACAUUUGAUUUGCACUCAAAAAGUAUUGACCUGUUCAAUCUACCUUA
Molecule: transfer RNA, 66 nt
Filed under: Bombylius sp.
Lineage: Eukaryota; Metazoa; Arthropoda; Insecta; Diptera; Bombyliidae
Description: tRNA-Ala
Rfam family: tRNA
About the family: Transfer RNA (tRNA) molecules are approximately 80 nucleotides in length. Their secondary structure includes four short double-helical elements and three loops (D, anti-codon, and T loops).
Source: RNAcentral